GGGGAUUUAGCUCAGCGGCAUAAGCGCCUGCCUUGCAAGCAGGUAGUCGUGAGUUCGAUCCCCA
Transfer RNA from Cavia porcellus (domestic guinea pig), 64 nucleotides. It matches the Rfam family "tRNA". From Rfam's summary of the family: Transfer RNA (tRNA) molecules are approximately 80 nucleotides in length. Their secondary structure includes four short double-helical elements and three loops (D, anti-codon, and T loops). Lineage: Eukaryota; Metazoa; Chordata; Mammalia; Rodentia; Caviidae. The record is from Rfam.